Carassius carassius (crucian carp) is the source of this 303-nucleotide long non-coding RNA. RefSeq lists it as uncharacterized. Lineage: Eukaryota; Metazoa; Chordata; Actinopteri; Cypriniformes; Cyprinidae. The record is from RefSeq and is a predicted model, not a curated record. The transcript is spliced from 3 exons.
CAAAAGCCAGUUUCUCAAUGACAUCAUCCAACAGGAAGUGAUGUCAUUUUGGAGGGAAAUCAGCUGUACAAACAUCAAGUAACUGUGAUUGGAUGGCCUUCUCCUGCAGUGCUGCUGUAAUCCAGUGGGAGGAGCUUCUGCAGAUCUCCAGCUGUCAAUCAAAUGGAUGGAUGCUGCUGUUCUUAGAGCACGAUGAAGCACACCAGGAUGUUUCCCAGCAUGCACAGCGAGAAGAUGAGCACAUAGGCCAGGAUAAUGACGGAGGCCACGGCGAGGGAAUGCUGGUAGAACGGUAAGAACGUG